Molecule: long non-coding RNA, 5074 nt
Organism: Betta splendens (Siamese fighting fish)
Lineage: Eukaryota; Metazoa; Chordata; Actinopteri; Anabantiformes; Osphronemidae
Exons: 2
Source: RefSeq, a predicted model, not a curated record
CGGCCCAGCGCCAGGACUUUCAGAGUAGCCGACAAAAACAUCUACACGUCCUUAUUUGGACAUGUGGAGAGAUUUUAGGUGGUGGUUAAAAGCAGGCCGUCACAGGCUGGGGUUUUCAGAGCGCUUCGCAGAGGGUCCGCUGGAAGAACACAGCUGACCUUUUCCGACCUCUCAGUUCUCUCUGCAGAGGAACAAGCAGAUUGUUUGCUCACUUACCUGGGUCAACUCUCCAACAUCAUCAUGCUGUAAGUCCUGAGUACCAAUUUUAGUUUUUUUUCUGACCUUGCCUUGCCUUGCCUGCUUCCUUCCUUCUGGUUUUGGACUCUGCCAUUCUUGCCUGAGAUUGACCACUGAUUACCUGAUUCCUGUCUGUGCUGCUCCCAUCCUACCAACGUCUGCCUGUCUGUUGAACAAGCUUCAUUAAAUCUCCACAAACUGAGAUCUGUGUGAGCUGUGCAUUUGUCCCUCAUAUUGCUAUUCGUGACAACAUGUUCUUUUGUUUCUGUCUCUUUAACUUCACUGAAUUUGAACAUGGCCUUUAACAAAACAGUCACGAUCUGGGGUUUUGUUUCUUGUUUUAUUUUGAAGGACUUUUCUGUUUCACCUUAGUUGUCAGGUUUUGGUUCCAGUUUCCCGUUUUAUUUUUAGUACUUCUGUUUCUGGUCACGUUAUGUUAGUUCCCGCAUCACGUCCCGGUCCUAGUUACGCACCUGUCAAUAAUCUAGUAAUCACCGCCUGUCAGAACACACGGAGGAGGACCCAAAUGCACAGCGCACAGGAGUAUAGUGGAGGGAAUCAGAGUUUAUUGCACAACGUUGUCAAUCAGUCCAGGUCAUACACAGAAUGGCACAGUCUUUAGGCACAGGCAAGGAACAGACAAGAUCAGGUCCAGGAGGCAGGCAAUGGUUCGAUACACGAGGAGGCUCAGCGACGGUACAGGUAAGGACUAGACAACUCACUGGUCAGACAGUCGUGCAAAGGUCAAUCUCCAAGCGAAGGUACAAGAACAGGUCAGGCAUGAAUCGGUAGUCAGAGACAAGCAGGAUCAAUAGCAUGAGACAAUCACUAGAACGCUGGAUAGUAGUACAGAGACUUGACAAUCUGGCGUCUGACUGUGGGCUGAGGUGGCGUUUAAGUACUGAGUCUGAUUGUUAGAUUAUUGUCAGGUGUGCAUAGUGAACCGGGACGUGAAUAGCUGAGACGUGAACAGGAAGUCCUUUCAGAUUAAAACAGGAAAUGACAUGAAAAACAAGAGGCAAGAAACCAGAUCGUGACACCGCCAGUACAUAAGCACCAGUAAUUGCCACAUCCGUUGCCAGAUUGUUAGUUCGUGUUUGUGUGUCUACUCUCCAUCAUUCAGCCAAGUCAGUUAGUUUUUGCAUUGACCCUGUUUUUGGUUUUGACCAUGUCCUGCCUGUUCCCAGUCGGUGCCUUCUGACUCUGCUUUGUAUAUGGAAUCCAGCCUGGAUCUUGACUGCCUUUGCUCACUCCCUGUCUGUGUCUGUGCCGUUGCCAUUAUCACUGUGCUGAUCUGUGUACCGACUUUUGCCUGCCUGACCAUAAGCCUGAUUAAAUCUUCUCAAGACUGAGUUCAUACGAGCUGUGCAUGUAGGUCCGUCAUAUUAAUGAGGCGCUGACAACCCGUUUAACAUUUUUAGAACAUAUCAGAAUCAGAAUCGUUUUUAUUGCCCAGGUUUGCACAAGACAAACAAGGAAUUGCAUCCGGUCUGACAACGUCUUUUCAUACCCUCAUACCGAACAGUAAUUAUUUACAUAUCAAUUACAGUUAUAUACAUUAUUUGCAUAAAAGAAAUAAAGAAUAGAAAAAAAAUUAAACAUUUCACCACACAUGUUUUUGAGUCCUUUCUGUAUGUGAUGGAGUUCAGCUAGGACACCGCCUGGGGGAAGAAGCUGACUCUGUGUCUGGUGGUUGUGGUGGCUAUAGCUCUGUGGCGCCUGCCUGAGGGGAGGAGUGUCACGUUCUGAAAGCCACAUCCUGUUUUAUUGCAUAGCAGUUCCGGUUUCCUGUCACAUCUCAUUAGCUCCAGCCUUACUUCCGGUUCUCAUUAGUCACACCUGCUCAGAAUCAGUAAUCACUCACCUGCAUACUUAAACACCACCAGUUCCAGAACCCGUUGCUAGAUUGUUGUAUGCUAGUCAUCACCUUCCAGCGCUUCGUUAUCCUGCCUACAUGUUCCUCGGUCCUGUUUUGUUUCUGGACUCCUGAUUCUCGUCUGCUCCUCAACUGUACUGUCGCCUGGAAAGCUCUAGUGAUACCGACCUGACCGCCUGACACCGAGAUAGCCUGCUCCUUACCGGUACUGUAAACCUUGUCAUCCUGUUACCGAGACUCUGCCUGCCCCUGGACCUGAUUCAGCAUGCUCCAUCUGUACCGACAUCUGUGAUCUCUUGUGUAUGACCCGGACCGUCUGUUAUAUCGAGAAUUGUAUUAAACCUUUAAAUACUACUAUCUGUCUGAGGUCUCUGUGCUGUGCAUGUGGGUCCGAGCUCUGCCAAAACCUGACAAGGAGUUUAAACAGUUUGUGUGUGGGAUGUGUGGGGUCAGCAGUGAUGCUCAAUGGAUGAAAGCUCAGACCCAAUGACAGACUAGGUGAUAGCCUUGUAGAAGAUGGUCAGUAGCUCCUGGGGUAGGACGGUGAAAAAGUGGACGAAGGAGUCCAAGCUACAGUAGAGCUGCUUUGACUCUACUGACUGGGAGGAUUUUGAAGCAGCCAUGACAUUCAUGAGCUCACUGACACUGUGACAUCAUACAUCAGCUUUUGUGAAGAUAUAUGCAUUCAGAUAAAAACUGUAUGCACAUUCAACAAAAAAAACAACUUGUUUCACACCUGACUUAAGGAAGCUACUUCAGGCCAAGGAAGAAGCCUACAGAAGUGGUGACCGGUCCCUGUAAAGGGAGGUGUGAUGGAAAUUUGCCAUAAACAAGCAGAUGAGAGAGUUGUCUUUUGUGUGAUUUAUUAUAAAAAUAAAGGAAAAUAAAAAUAAUGGUGAAAUCAAAUGAAAAACAUGGAUGGUGAUCAUGCACAUCAACAAACCUAAUUGCAGCGUCUCAGCAAACACUUGACCUGGAGUGCCCUGACAUACAGUAGGGAAAGUGUGGGUCUAACUGGAAGUUCCCCCGCCUAAGGAAAAACAAGGCAGAGCAAAGCGUUCUCACUUUGUGUUGAGAUUAUGAUUUGUUAUAUUUUUUUACCAAAAUAAUGAUGGAAAACACAUUAAAAGGUCAAGAGGAUGGUCCAGGGAGCUGAAUCCCACCCCGUGAGCAAUCGGUAUAUAAGGUGAUGUUGGGACCAAAUAUUCUCAGUCUGUCCUGUCUUCUGUCACUUUUCUGUGGAAUAAAUGCAUUGUUACCCUAGAUCUUGCUGCUCUGGACUUAACCUAACUCUGGAUCUUACUAUUUGGAUUUAAUUUAAUUUUGGGAUCCCACUGUUGGGACUUACUGGUUGGUUUAUUCUUCAUUUUUUGGGAAAUUAAUAAUUUUCUGGAACCAUACAACUGUGGAUUUAGGUCAUUUUCUUCCGUUUGGGAUUUAUUAUUUAAUUUCUAGAAUUUACAUAGUUUGACUUUUAUCAUUUUAACAAUAAUAUAAUAAUUUACACCUAUUGGAUUUAUAAUAGAUCAGUCAGAUUGGAAUACAAAGUUUAUUUUAUUUCAGACACGACACUUUAAAGUUCAAAUCAAUAAUUGAUUACAUGUAAUAAAAAAAUAUAAAAUAUAAUUGAAAUAAAAUAGAGAAGCAGUUCCUGUCUGUUUCUUCUGCAGAGAGAACUGAAAGGUUGAAAAGGUCAGAUUUGCAGACGCAAUAUGUCUCUAGCAGGCCCUCUGUGUAGCGCCUGCUUUAACUACUAAUCCAGCUCUCUCCCCACAUCCAAAUAAGGCAAGAAUAAAGUCUAGAUGUUUAUUCAAAGAAUCUACGUGCUUACAUGUAAAGGAAUGGUAAUUGCCCGUGUUAUCCCUUUAGCUUCCCAGAAAACAUUUGGACCUUAGCUGAACUCCCAGAACUGUUUUGGACAUCAGCCCAGACCAAGAUAUUACAUAAGCAGAUGUUUUCCUAAGAACAAACCUUCUCAAACUCAAACUCUUUAACCCUAGUUACUAACAACAGAGAUUGAAUCAAACCUUUACAACCAGUAACUAAGGACAGACAUGAAAACCCCAUCACAUGUACUUUUCAUAGACAAUGAGAAAAUUUACUACACCUACUAAGGAUAAUCUGUCUGGUUGAGACUGACAAGGUCAUUUCUGUUAAACAAUCCUGGUUAUUCAAUUCAAUAACCAGGAUUACCAUAGCCAGUACAUAGCCUAAAUGUAAAGAUUGGUUGAUUUGAUUUAAUAUGGACGAGCUGAUUAAAGGUAAAACUUCUUUGAGUAAUCUGGUUGGGAUUGGAUCUAAAAGACAAGUGGCUACUUGGAAGAGUUGAUUAUUGAGGUUAACUCCAUAUGAGUUAUGGGGAAGAGGCUGUCUAGGUAAGACAGAGGAUUUGGUAAAUUUAAAGUUGAUGGAUCUAGACAGUGCUUUCUGUCAUUUGGAAGAGGUCGCUGCUGAAUGUUUUUUCUAAUGACGAUAAUUUUAUUAGUAAAGUAGUUCAUAAAGUCAUUGCUGCUGAGAUUUAAGGGGAUAGUAGGCACAACACAGCUAUGACUCUUAGUCAGCCUGGCUACAGUGCUGAAAAGAAACCUGGGGUUGUUUUGGUUUUCCUCAAUUAGGGAGGAAAAAUAUGUUUUUCUAGCAGCACAAAGUGCUUUUUUAUAUUUUAUUAGACUGUCCUUCCAUGCAAUGCAGUUUACAUUUAUUUUGUUGGAACGCCACUGUCUUUCUAGUUGUCUGGUCCUGUGCUUUAGGCUGUGGAUCUCUGAGUUAUAUAUUGUACAUGCUGUAUUUUUUUUUCAUUGUAAUUUAUAAAAUGAUCAGACUGUACAAUGUCAUGUCAUAUUUCAUGUUAUAUUUUGGUUGUUGGCUACCUGCUGUAGCCUGCUCCUUAUCUGUACUGUAGUUGCCUGCUUCCCUGUGUAUCGACCAAGAGCUCUGAUUAAACUUGAUUCAUACCUACCA